RNAcentral lists this ribosomal RNA (254 nucleotides) under uncultured bacterium. RNAcentral describes it as "partial 16S ribosomal RNA". It matches the Rfam family "Bacterial small subunit ribosomal RNA", at positions 524 to 777 of the family's 1533-position model. The record is from RNAcentral.
UACGGGGGGGGCAAGCGUUGUUCGGAAUUACUGGGCGUAAAGGGCUCGUAGGCGGCCAACUAAGUCGGAUGUGAAAUCCCCAGGCUCAACCUGGGAACUGCAUCCGAUACUGGAUGGCUUGAAUUCGGGAGAGGGAUGCAGAAUUCCAGGUGUAGCGGUGAAAUGCGUAGAUAUCUGGAGGAAUACCGGUGGCGAAGGCGGCAUCCUGGACCGACAUUGACGCUGAGGAGCGAAAGCCAGGGGAGCAAACGGGG